AUCCAGAUGACUAGUCCCAAAUGGGAUGAAAUAUGCGUCCUGGAU
RNAcentral lists this non-coding RNA (45 nucleotides) under Trichobilharzia regenti. Lineage: Eukaryota; Metazoa; Platyhelminthes; Trematoda; Strigeidida; Schistosomatidae. The record is from RNAcentral.